UACGUAGGGGGCAAGCGUUGUCCGGAUUUAUUGGGCGUAAAGAGCGUGUAGGCGGUCAGGUAGGUCAGCUGUGAAAACUCGAGGCUCAACCUCGAGACGCCGGUUGAAACCAUCUGACUAGAGUCCGGAAGAGGAGAGUGGAAUUCCUGGUGUAGCGGUGAAAUGCGCAGAUAUCAGGAAGAACACCCGUGGCUAAGGCGGCUCUCUAGUACGGUACUGACGCUGAGACGCGAAAGCGUGGGGGAGCGAACAGG
RNAcentral lists this ribosomal RNA (254 nucleotides) under uncultured bacterium. RNAcentral describes it as "partial 16S ribosomal RNA". It matches the Rfam family "Bacterial small subunit ribosomal RNA", at positions 524 to 776 of the family's 1533-position model. The record is from RNAcentral.